This 66-nucleotide transfer RNA is filed under the name Canis lupus familiaris (dog). It matches the Rfam family "tRNA". From Rfam's summary of the family: Transfer RNA (tRNA) molecules are approximately 80 nucleotides in length. RNAcentral also lists the same sequence under 1 other name. The record is from Rfam by way of RNAcentral. Lineage: Eukaryota; Metazoa; Chordata; Mammalia; Carnivora; Canidae.
ACCUAGCUAGUUUAGAACAUGUGAUUCUUAAUCUCAGGGAUGUGAGUUCAAGCCUCAUGUUGGGCA